CCAGACUCCUACGGGAGGCAGCAGUGGGGGAUAUUGCACAAUGGGGGGAACCCUGAUGCAGCGACGCCGCGUGGGUGAAGGAGCGUUUCGGCGCGUAAAGCCCUAUCGGCAGGGAAGAAGGAGGACGGUACCUGACUAAGAAGCCCCGGCUAACUACGUGCCAGCAGCCGCGGUAAUACGUAGGGGGCAAGCGUUAUCCGGAUUUACUGGGUGUAAAGGGAGCGUAGACGGCCAGACAAGUCUGAAGUGAAAAUCCAGCGCUUAACGUUGGAAGUGCUUUGGAAACUGCCGGGCUGGAGUGCAGGAGGGGCAGGCGGAAUUCCUAGUGUAGCGGUGAAAUGCGUAGAUAUUAGGAGGAACACCAGUGGCGAAGGCGUCUUACUGGACUGUAAAUGACGCUGAGGCUCGAAAGCGUGGGGAGCAAACAGGAUUAGAUACCCGGGUAC
Molecule: ribosomal RNA, 446 nt
Filed under: uncultured bacterium
Lineage: Bacteria
Description: partial 16S ribosomal RNA
Rfam family: Bacterial small subunit ribosomal RNA
Source: RNAcentral